This 66-nucleotide transfer RNA is filed under the name Acinetobacter baumannii. Its description in RNAcentral is "tRNA-Gly". It matches the Rfam family "tRNA". Rfam says of the family: Transfer RNA (tRNA) molecules are approximately 80 nucleotides in length. Their secondary structure includes four short double-helical elements and three loops (D, anti-codon, and T loops). The record is from RNAcentral. RNAcentral also lists the same sequence under 1 other name. Lineage: Bacteria; Pseudomonadati; Pseudomonadota; Gammaproteobacteria; Moraxellales; Moraxellaceae.
GGAAUAGCUCAGUUGGUAGAGCAUAACCUUGCCAAGGUUGGGGUCGCGAGUUCGAGUCUCGUUUCC